RNAcentral lists this unclassified non-coding RNA (293 nucleotides) under fungal sp. RNAcentral's name for it is "partial internal transcribed spacer region". The stretch from base 1 to 46 matches the Rfam family "Eukaryotic small subunit ribosomal RNA", at positions 1786 to 1831 of the family's 1831-position model. The record is from RNAcentral. Lineage: Eukaryota; Fungi. RNAcentral also lists the same sequence under 1 other name.
AAGUCGUAACAAGGUAACCGUAGGUGAACCUGCGGUUGGAUCAUUAAUAAAUGAUUUGGUUUCAUACCAACACAUUGUGUGCAAUUAUAUCUGUCUCUGGUGGUUAAAUUUUCCUGCUCGGUACGGGUGUCAUGUUUCUUCUGAAAGGGAGCUCUAACCUGAUGUCCAAACUUGGCAAAGAAUACCCUACCACCAAAUGAAUACACAAACCUUUGUAUGUUUUUUUUAAGUCUGAAUCAUUCACUUUUGGUGCAAUGAAAAAACAACUUUUGACAACGGAUCUCUUGGCUCUC